UGUAAUAUCACGGCUGCUCAUCUUUCAUCCCACGCCGGCGAGCUUCGACGAAUGGAAGAUAGCCACCUGCCAACGGUGGCGACGAACAGAAGUUGUUCUUCCCAAAACAGACUAGCGCACCGAAGGUGACAGAGACCGAUGAGCGGAGGCGACGGACCACCGCCACCACCACCGACCGUAGCCAUGGAAACUGAUAGCGUAGCUUCGGGCGAACGAUUCUCUCCUGAGGUUCUGGGUUUUAUGCGGCUUGCUAUAGAUCAGGCAAAGCUUGCGUUGGACAGCCUUGAAGUUCCAGUUGGCUGUGUGAUUGUUGAGGAUGAGAACGUUAUUGCGGCAGGAAGAAACCGGACUAACGAGACACGGAAUGCAACGAGACAUGCAGAGAUGGAAGCGAUUGAUGUUCUUCUUAUACAGUGGCAGAGGACUGGAUUUACGGCUGCAGAAGUUGCGGAGAAGUUUUCAGCAUGCUCCCUUUAUGUGACAUGUGAACCCUGCAUAAUGUGUGCAGCGGCAUUGUCAAUCAUUGGUAUAAAGGAAGUAUACUAUGGCUGUGCAAAUGAUAAAUUUGGAGGCUGUGGCUCAAUACUGUCGUUACAUUCAAGUAGCUCUGAGGCAUGCAUUAGUAUUGGGAAUUCUGGAUCAAAGGGAUUCAAAUGUUGUGGAGGUAUAAUGGCAUCAGAAGCCAUUUCUCUUCUGCGAGAUUUUUAUGAACGAGGAAACCCUAAUGCUCCAAAGCCUCACAGGUCACAGGUUACUCAGGCUUAAACUUAGAUCUACGUGCAUUGAUUCUUCCUGUUGAAUCUUCCCAUGCCUUUGCACAACUAGAGUUUCAUCAGGGGACCUGAGAAAGGAAGCGUGAUGCACGCGGGGAUCAGUUUUUGCCCGGAUGAUCAGGCGCUUACUGAGGGUUGCAGCUGUGGUCACAAGUCCAUUCAAUUAUUUAGCUUGAUUAUGAGAUUGUAAGAUAACUUAUGGCAUCGCCCUGUGUAGGUAUCCCUUUUUGUUAAUGCUAGUUUUUCUCAUCAACCUAUUCUGUAAUCUAGCUUGAUUAUUAUUAUUAUUUUUUUUAGCUUUCGAACUUUGAGGUAAUUCUAGGCACGCUAUUGAUGUGUCUGAGCUUCGUAAUCUUGGUCUAUAUCA
Rhodamnia argentea is the source of this 1140-nucleotide RNA transcript. It is a transcript of the gene named tRNA-specific adenosine deaminase TAD2-like, with no coding region annotated. The record is from RefSeq and is a predicted model, not a curated record. Lineage: Eukaryota; Viridiplantae; Streptophyta; Magnoliopsida; Myrtales; Myrtaceae. The transcript is spliced from 8 exons.